GUGGGUAUAGCUCAGUUGGUUAGAGCGCCAGAUUGUGGCUCUGGAGGUAGGUUCGAGUCCUGCAUCCCCA
Molecule: transfer RNA, 70 nt
Filed under: Clostridioides difficile
Lineage: Bacteria; Bacillati; Bacillota; Clostridia; Peptostreptococcales; Peptostreptococcaceae
Description: tRNA-His(gtg)
Rfam family: tRNA
About the family: Transfer RNA (tRNA) molecules are approximately 80 nucleotides in length. Their secondary structure includes four short double-helical elements and three loops (D, anti-codon, and T loops). Further hydrogen bonds mediate the characteristic L-shaped molecular structure. tRNAs have two regions of fundamental functional importance: the anti-codon, which is responsible for specific mRNA codon recognition, and the 3' end, to which the tRNAs corresponding amino acid is attached (by aminoacyl-tRNA synthetases). tRNAs cope with the degeneracy of the genetic code in two manners: having more than one tRNA (with a specific anti-codon) for a particular amino acid; and 'wobble' base-pairing, i.e. permitting non-standard base-pairing at the 3rd anti-codon position.
Source: RNAcentral